This 406-nucleotide ribosomal RNA is filed under the name uncultured bacterium. RNAcentral describes it as "partial 16S ribosomal RNA". It matches the Rfam family "Bacterial small subunit ribosomal RNA", at positions 30 to 526 of the family's 1533-position model. The record is from RNAcentral.
AUUGAACGCUGGCGGCAGGCCUAACACAUGCAAGUCGAACGAGUGGCGGAAGGGUGAGUAAUGUCUGGGAAACUGCCCGAUGGAGGGGGAUAACUACUGGAAACGGUAGCUAAUACCGCAUACCAACGGACGUGACCAGAAGGGAUUAGCCAGUAGGUGGGGUAACGGCUCACCUAGGAGACGAUCCCUAGCUGGUCUGAGAGGAUGACCAGCCACACUUGAACUGAGCCACGGUCCAGACUCCUACGGGAGGCAGCAGUGGGGAAUAUUGCACCAUGGGCGCAAGCCUGAUACAGCCAUGCCGCGUGUAUGAAGAAGGCCUUCGGGUUGUAAAGUACUUUCAGCUAGGAGGCGUUACUCGCAGAAGAAGCACCGGCUAACUCCGUGCCAGCCGCCGCGGUAAUAC